This 810-nucleotide ribosomal RNA is filed under the name uncultured Eubacteriales bacterium. RNAcentral's name for it is "bacterial SSU rRNA". It matches the Rfam family "Bacterial small subunit ribosomal RNA", at positions 28 to 833 of the family's 1533-position model. The record is from RNAcentral. Lineage: Bacteria; Bacillati; Bacillota; Clostridia; Eubacteriales.
GACGAACGCUGGCGGUGUGCUUAAGACAUGCAAGUCGUGCGGUCCCGCAAGGGACAGCGGCGGACGGGUGAGUAACACGUGGAUAACCUGCCUGACUCCCCGGGAUAACAGCUCGAAAGGGCUGCUAAUACCGGGUAAGCUCACGGAGUCGCAUGGCUCCGGGAGAAAAGGUCCUGCAAGGGACUGGGGUGAGAGGGGUCCGCGGUCCAUUAGCUAGUUGGAGGGGUAACGGCCCACCAAGGCGACGAUGGAUAGCCGGCCUGAGAGGGCGACCGGCCACACUGGGACUGAGACACGGCCCAGACUCCUACGGGAGGCAGCAGUCGGGAAUUUUGGGCAAUGGCCGAAAGGGCUGACCCAGCAACACCGCGUGAGUGAAGAAGGCCUUCGGGUUGUAAAGCUCUGUUACCCGUGAAGAACGGUACCUGCAGGAAAUGGUGGGUACUUGACGGUAGCGGGGGAGGAAGCUCCGGCUAACUACGUGCCAGCAGCCGCGGUAAUACGUAGGGAGCGAGCGUUGUCCGGAUUUAUUGGGCGUAAAGGGCGUGUAGGCGGCUUGUUAAGUCUGGAGUGAAAAUCCGGGGCUCAACCCCGGAACUGCUUCGGAUACUGAUGAGCUUGAGUACUCUAGAGGGCAGUGGAAUUCCCGGUGUAGCAGUGAAAUGCGUAGAGAUCGGGAGGAACACCAGUGGCGAAGGCGACUGCCUGGGGAGAAACUGACGCUGAGGCGCGGAAGCUGGGGGAGCAAACGGGAUUAGAUACCCCGGUAGUCCCAGCCGUAAACGAUGAGUGCUAGGUGUAGCGGGUAUC